GCUGCGGUGUCAGAGUGGUCGAAUGUGCACGCUUGGAAAGCGUGUGUACGGCAACGUACCGAGGGUUCAAAUCCCUCCUGCAGCGCCA
RNAcentral lists this transfer RNA (88 nucleotides) under Bacillota bacterium. Its description in RNAcentral is "tRNA-Ser". It matches the Rfam family "tRNA". Rfam says of the family: Transfer RNA (tRNA) molecules are approximately 80 nucleotides in length. Their secondary structure includes four short double-helical elements and three loops (D, anti-codon, and T loops). Further hydrogen bonds mediate the characteristic L-shaped molecular structure. tRNAs have two regions of fundamental functional importance: the anti-codon, which is responsible for specific mRNA codon recognition, and the 3' end, to which the tRNAs corresponding amino acid is attached (by aminoacyl-tRNA synthetases). tRNAs cope with the degeneracy of the genetic code in two manners: having more than one tRNA (with a specific anti-codon) for a particular amino acid; and 'wobble' base-pairing, i.e. permitting non-standard base-pairing at the 3rd anti-codon position. Lineage: Bacteria; Bacillati; Bacillota. The record is from RNAcentral. RNAcentral also lists the same sequence under 1 other name.